UUCCUGGAAAGUGAAAAUUUCAUUUCUUUGUGGACAGGUACCUAAAAUGUCUCAUUAUUCAUCAAUUAAUGAAAAACAAAUGAAAAUUUGAGAGAGAUAUUCUGAAGAAUAAAAGGAUCAAGUUGGGUCAUUUCUAAAAUCUCAGAGACCUAAUAGGAUGGGGUCUUAGAGAAACAUCUUUUGAGCCACAGACUUCUUUGUUACCAGAAGGAAAAUGAAAGAAGAAAUUUAAAUACCACUUGAAGAGAGAGAGUGUGAAGAAAUGACCCUGAAAAGCCUCUGGCAGAGGAUUCUUCUUUCAGGAUGGUGUCGCCUCCUCAGCAGCCCAUCCUCCUCCCCUGGACUCAAGCUCUCAUUCCAGUAACACUCCUUCCUCCUUCUCCAUCUUCAGGGGGAGGUUUGCCAGUCGGUGGGUUCUAAGCAUAUCUCGCUGAUUCCCCCCAACCCUGCCGACACCUCUGUAGGUCGUCCCUUCAUUAAAAUCUCUCCAUUUGAACUAUCUGAGUUUAAUUCCAUUUCCUCCUGGUAUCUCAGUGAUACACGGUAUCAGUACAAAAAUCUCGCUUCACCUUCAGAACCAACAGAUUUGAGACAUUUUAUCCUCUGUGGAACCAUUAGUUAUUUUGUCAUUGGUUGUAUCAGAAAAAAAAAUCAGGAAUGCAAAUCCUUCUUUAUUACAGAUUCAGAUUUGCAUAUUACCAAUGUUAUAUAUUUUAAACAAAACUAUUCAUCAUAAGUUUUAAAAAUUAACUACUGGAGUAGUUAAUGAAUCUGAAUGUAAUUAUGUAGCUUUCAUAAUAUUAAAGUAAAAAUACUAAAAGAAGUAUUUCUUAAAGAAGCAAAUGCUCAAUCUCCAAGUAAAUUUUAUUCUAUGCUCUUCCGGUAUAAGAAUAUGUUAAUAUCUUGAAAAAUAUCAUAUUAUUUUGUGAACUCAUAAAGCUAUUUUGAGUUUUUGUAAAAUGAAAACCUUACCAAAAUGUAUUUUAUUGUUGGAAAGCUUGACCGUUACUGCUGUUUAAUUUUUUGAGCUUGUAAACUUUAUUUGUGCAUGUUUUCAACAAAGAAGGAUUUUAUUGUUAUUACAUAAAACAGGUGAUUUCUAGAUUUUAAAAUCACAAAUUGAAAGCAAGGCACAAUAAUAUAUAUUUCAAGAUAUAGGUACUUAGGAGGCAUCCUUUUAGUCAUCUGUUCAAUGUAGCCAUCUAUUUUACACCUACUGUCUACUAUUGUUUGAGGUCCUUGCCAAAGUAUUGCAGGCUAGUUAGGAAACAUAAAACAAUUAGAAAGUAAUCUAUGACAAGUAAGCUAUCUAUAAAUGGCAAUGAAGGGUAGAACAAAUUCAAUGAAAAUAUCUAUUUAAUCCUAGUGUUUACUGGUCUAGAAGAAUAGGCUGAGUAAAUUAGUAUUUCUCUGGCUGUUGUGGUAACACAUUGCAUGCUAUAACAGUUUUAAGUAAUUACAGGUGCAUUGAAAUUUAUCUAUGGCUUUGUCAUCAUAUUCUAAAAUGUCAUGAGUACUUUUUUCUGACCUCAAUUACUAUGAAAUUGGUUUCCAAUAUUUAAUUAACCAAGAAUAUCAAGUCUAUAGGGUAUUAUUAAGGUGAGACUUCUGUAGCCUUUUCAAUAAAGACCAGAAUUUUGGAGUGCCUUGAACCUUAAUCAUUGAUCUUUAAUUCUUAUUAAGUCAACUGCCCACCUUUUAAAGACUGAGGCCCAGGAAGAGUAAGUUUCUCUGAGACAAUGCAUACAGUACAGUGCUUCUUGGGUAUUGGCUCUAAGACCAGAUGCAAAGAAAGGCUAAAAUCCCAUUUCAUUGUUCAUUAGGUGAGAACCCUUUGUUAAGCUGUGUAACCUCUGUGCAUAGUUUCCUCAUCAGCAAAGUCAGAAAAAGUAUGUACCUGAAGGACUGAUUGUAAGGCUGGGAUGAGAGAAUCCAUGUGAUCAGCCCUCACCAACAGGUGCUGCCCAGUUCAUGAGUGCUGCUGCUGUCCUGCCCAAGUACCCAGCUUGCAGAGUGCCAGAGUUAGAGUCCCAGGGGUGUUCUCCACAGCUGCAUGCUUGAUCCAGGCCUAUCAGAUAUAUUCCAUUGAAAGUCCUCAUUCUCAAAUUUAAAACAAAGACUUUUUGUGUACCUCAAUAGCAAUGCACACACAGUUGGCUUCACAAACAUAUUGUACAUUUCUUUUUUUCAUAUUUAUUCAACAAAUGUAUAUUGACUACCCACCGUGUGACAGGUGUUAUUUGUUGACGGAACCAGGCAUCAUCAGCAAACAAAACUGACAAAGCUUCCUGCCCUCUGUGGAAGGCAUCUGAGGAAGAGACUGGAUUUUGUAGCAACAUGUUAUUCUCAUUAUAAACUUUAUCAUUGGAAUACUAAAGCCAAAUCAUCCCCCAUCUCCUUGAUCAGGAUACCCACUUAAUCUAGGCAGCUACACAAUUGUGAGAGCCUUUGUUUUUUUCUGCUGAAACAUCCUUAAAAAGAUACCUCACAACCCAAGAUUUGGCUUUUCUUAAAUACGAUUUUUAAUUUUUUUCAUUUCUAUCUAGAGAUUUAAUUGGAAAUGGAAAAUCAUCAAUUUUCCAAUUAAAUGUCUGUUCCAAUCAACAUUAUACCUUUUAGGUUGUCAUUGUCAUUUUUAAGUUUAAGCAACUUUAAGGAUUUUGAAUCUGGCUGCCUGUAAAUUAAAGGUGAAAGUAAUCAUUGUGUUGGAUUGGAACAUUUUGUCAAUUGAGAGUGGUUUCCUUGUUCUUAGUGUAUGAAAAGUUUAUUUUUCUAAUGUAGAUUAAUAAAGGAGAUAAAGAAAAACAAAAUGAGU
Long non-coding RNA from Homo sapiens (human), 2815 nucleotides. Lineage: Eukaryota; Metazoa; Chordata; Mammalia; Primates; Hominidae. The record is from Ensembl.